Molecule: ribosomal RNA, 467 nt
Filed under: Clostridioides difficile
Lineage: Bacteria; Bacillati; Bacillota; Clostridia; Peptostreptococcales; Peptostreptococcaceae
Description: partial 23S ribosomal RNA
Rfam family: Bacterial large subunit ribosomal RNA
Source: RNAcentral
AGAGGUAUCGUAAUUGAAGAGGUUUGGAAAGACCCACCACAGAAGGUAAUAGUCCUGUAUGUUAAACGAGAAGACUUUAGAUAUGAUCCAGAGUACCACGGGACACGUGAAACCCUGUGGGAAGCAGGAGGGACCACCCUCCAAGGCUAAAUACUACCUAGUGACCGAUAGCGUAUAGUACCGUGAGGGAAAGGUGAAAAGAACCCCGGGAGGGGAGUGAAAUAGAACCUGAAACCCUGCACUUACAAGCUGUGGAAGCACAUUUCUUGUGUGACCGCGUACUUUUUGUAGAACGGGCCAACGAGUUACGUUAAGUAGCAAGGUUAAGCACUUAAGGUGUGGAGCCGUAGCGAAAGCGAGUUUUAACUGAGCGUUCAGUUACUUGACGUAGACCCGAAACCGGGCGACCUACCCAUGAGCAGGAUGAAGCGAAAGUAAAAUUUCGUGGAGGUCCGAACCCACGAGCG